UGUAGCUAGUGUCACUGGGUGUGCAACGU
This 29-nucleotide non-coding RNA is filed under the name Rattus norvegicus (Norway rat). Lineage: Eukaryota; Metazoa; Chordata; Mammalia; Rodentia; Muridae. The record is from RNAcentral.